Molecule: ribosomal RNA, 696 nt
Filed under: uncultured Bacteroidales bacterium
Lineage: Bacteria; Pseudomonadati; Bacteroidota; Bacteroidia; Bacteroidales
Description: bacterial SSU rRNA
Rfam family: Bacterial small subunit ribosomal RNA
Source: RNAcentral
AACGCUAGCUACAGGCUUAACACAUGCAAGUCGAGGGGAAACGACAUCGAAAGCUUGCUUUUGAUGGGCGUCGACCGGCGCACGGGUGAGUAACGCGUAUCCAACCUGCCCACCACUUGGGGAUAACCUUGCGAAAGUAAGACUAAUACCCAAUGAUAUCUCUAGAAGACAUCUGAAAGAGAUUAAAGAUUUAUCGGUGAUGGAUGGGGAUGCGUCUGAUUAGCUUGUUGGCGGGGUAACGGCCCACCAAGGCGACGAUCAGUAGGGGUUCUGAGAGGAAGGUCCCCCACAUUGGAACUGAGACACGGUCCAAACUCCGACGGGAGGCAGCAGUGAGGAAUAUUGGUCAAUGGGCGAGAGCCUGAACCAGCCAAGUAGCGUGCAGGAAGACGGCCCUAUGGGUUGUAAACUGCUUUUAUAAGGGAAUAAAGUGAGCCUCGUGAGGCUUUUUGCAUGUACCUUAUGAAUAAGGACCGGCUAAUUCCGUGCCAGCAGCCGCGGUAAUACGGAAGGUCCGGGCGUUAUCCGGAUUUAUUGGGUUUAAAGGGAGCGUAGGCCGGAGAUUAAGCGUGUUGUGAAAUGUAGACGCUCAACGUCUGCACUGCAGCGCGAACUGGUUUACUUGAGUACGCACAAAGUGGGCGGAAUUCGUGGUGUAGCGGUGAAAUGCUUAGAUAUCACGAAGAACUCCGAUUG